CAGGAGCCCAUUCACCAACUCUGAUGUGGUAGCUGGGAGUCUGUUUUUGGGAAAAUUUCAGCCUGUUAGAAAGAUUGUCCACAUUUCUGAGAGGACACUGGUGAUCAUCGAUCCCUUGGAUAACGAGGACAAAAAUGAGCAAAAUCUUGCGGAAUUGGAGGAACUUUUUGAGGUUGGCGGUCCGUGAGUUCCAAAUAAAAACUUGGACUACCAAAACUGUAGCCCAUAACAAGCAACAGGACAACAGUAGCUGUGGGGUUUUCGUAUUAGAGUUUGCCGAAGAGUAUAUGGCCAACAGAGAUCUUAGGCACAACCAGACCCACCCUCCCGAAG
This is a long non-coding RNA of Corythoichthys intestinalis (scribbled pipefish), 333 nucleotides long. RefSeq lists it as uncharacterized. The transcript is spliced from 4 exons. Lineage: Eukaryota; Metazoa; Chordata; Actinopteri; Syngnathiformes; Syngnathidae. The record is from RefSeq and is a predicted model, not a curated record.